Small nucleolar RNA from Pteronotus mesoamericanus, 104 nucleotides. RefSeq annotates it as small nucleolar RNA U13. The transcript has a single exon. NCBI's taxonomy places the organism in Eukaryota, Metazoa, Chordata, Mammalia, Chiroptera, Mormoopidae. The record is from RefSeq and is a predicted model, not a curated record.
AUCCUUUUGUAGUUCAUAAGCAUGAUAACUGGGUGUUCAUGCUCUUGUGUGACGUGUGCCUCCCUCAAAACUUUUUAUGACAUUGUCAUAUUACUCAUCUGAUG